This 501-nucleotide ribosomal RNA is filed under the name uncultured bacterium. RNAcentral's name for it is "partial 16S ribosomal RNA". It matches the Rfam family "Bacterial small subunit ribosomal RNA", at positions 30 to 523 of the family's 1533-position model. The record is from RNAcentral.
AUUGAACGCUGGCGGCAGGCUUAACACAUGCAAGUCGAGCGGAGAUGAGGUGCUUGCACCUUAUCUUAGCGGCGGACGGGUGAGUAAUGCUUAGGAAUCUGCCUAUUAGUGGGGGACAACAUUCCGAAAGGAAUGCUAAUACCGCAUACGUCCUACGGGAGAAAGCAGGGGAUCUUCGGACCUUGCGCUAAUAGAUGAGCCUAAGUCGGAUUAGCUAGUUGGUGGGGUAAAGGCCUACCAAGGCGACGAUCUGUAGCGGGUCUGAGAGGAUGAACAGCCACACUGGGACUGAGACACGGCCCAGACUCCUACGGGAGGCAGCAGUGGGGAAUAUUGGACAAUGGGGGAAACCCUGAUCCAGCCAUGCCGCGUGUGUGAAGAAGGCCUUAUGGUUGUAAAGCACUUUAAGCGAGGAGGAGGCUACUGAGACUAAUACUCUUGGAUAGUGGACGUUACUCGCAGAAUAAGCACCGGCUAACUCUGUGCCAGCCGCCGCAGUAA